RNAcentral lists this long non-coding RNA (298 nucleotides) under Monodelphis domestica (gray short-tailed opossum). RNAcentral's name for it is "lncRNA (ENSMODG00000043027.1)". The record is from RNAcentral. Lineage: Eukaryota; Metazoa; Chordata; Mammalia; Didelphimorphia; Didelphidae.
GACAAUUGUCAUCACAGCUCUUACUGAAUAUAUCCUGAGUGGAUAAGGUUUCCUAGAAUUGAAUUACAGAAGAAAGUCCUAUGCAGAACACACUUCUAUUCUUAAUAUCGUCAUGGAUUGACUGCAAUUGGAUAUUUAGAGCAGUUAUAGCAUCAAUGAAGAAAAUGAUGAAUUAUUGCCUACAUACACUUGAACCACUGUGUGCAACCAACAACAAAACUUACUGGAACUCGUGUGCAUUCUGCAUACUAACAUCGUAAGGAAUAAAAUUUCUUUUUUCCCCUUAAUCUUUUUAUUA